Molecule: transfer RNA, 72 nt
Filed under: Heterocephalus glaber (naked mole-rat)
Lineage: Eukaryota; Metazoa; Chordata; Mammalia; Rodentia; Bathyergidae
Rfam family: tRNA
About the family: Transfer RNA (tRNA) molecules are approximately 80 nucleotides in length. Their secondary structure includes four short double-helical elements and three loops (D, anti-codon, and T loops).
Source: Rfam by way of RNAcentral
GGCGAUGUAGCUCAGUGGUAGAGUGUUUGGGUAGCAUCCUCAAGGUCCCGGGUUCCAUUCCCUGCACUUCCA